CCAGACUCCUACGGGAGGCAGCAGUGAGGAAUAUUGGUCAAUGGCCGGAAGGCUGAACCAGCCAAGCCGCGUGAAGGACGAAGGUGCCAAGCAUUGUAAACUUCUUUUGUCAAGGGACAAAAUCAGGCUCGAGAGCCUGACCGAGGGUACUUGAAGAAAAAGCAUCGGCUAACUACGUGCCAGCAGCCGCGGUAAUACGUAGGGAGCAAGCGUUAUCCGGAUUUAUUGGGUGUAAAGGGAGCGCAGGCGGGAAGCCAAGUCAGCUGUGAAAACUACGGGCUUAACUUGUAGACUGCAGUUGAAACUGGUUUUCUUGAGUGAAGUAGAGGUUGGCGGAAUUCCGAGUGUAGCGGUGAAAUGCGUAGAUAUUCGGAGGAACACCGGUGGCGAAGGCGGCCAACUGGGCUUUAACUGACGCUGAGGCUCGAAAGUGUGGGGAGCAGACAGGAUUAGAUACCCCAGU
This 463-nucleotide ribosomal RNA is filed under the name uncultured bacterium. RNAcentral describes it as "bacterial SSU rRNA". It matches the Rfam family "Bacterial small subunit ribosomal RNA", at positions 331 to 791 of the family's 1533-position model. The record is from RNAcentral.